RNAcentral lists this ribosomal RNA (468 nucleotides) under uncultured bacterium. RNAcentral's name for it is "partial 16S ribosomal RNA". It matches the Rfam family "Bacterial small subunit ribosomal RNA", at positions 28 to 507 of the family's 1533-position model. The record is from RNAcentral.
GACGAACGCUGGCGGCGUGCUUAACACAUGCAAGUCGAACGGAAAGGCCCUGCUUUUGUGGGGUGCUCGAGUGGCGAACGGGUGAGUAACACGUGAGUAACCUGCCCUUUACUUUGGGAUAACUUCAGGAAACUGGGGCUAAUACCGGAUAGGAUCUCCUGCUGCAUGGUGGGGGUUGGAAAGUUUCGGCGGUUGGGGAUGGACUCGCGGCUUAUCAGCUUGUUGGUGGGGUAGUUGCUUACCAAGGCUUUGACGGGUAGCCGGCCUGAGAGGGUGAACGGCCACAAGGGGACUGAGAUAGGGCACAGAAGCGAACGGGAGGCAGCAGUGGGGAAUAUUGCAAAAUGGGCGGAAGCCUGAUGAAGCAACGCCGCGUGCGGGAUGACGGCCUUCGGGUUGUAAACCGCUUUAGACUGUGACGAAGCGUGAGUGACGGUAAUGGGUAAAGAAGCACCGGCUAACUACGUG